AACCCAUGGUGAGAGCACCUUCUCAAUAGGUCAUUGUAUCUCUCCCAUGCAUCAUAGAGUGUCUCUAGAUCCAUCUUUACAAAAGAAGUUAUAUCAUUUGUAACACC
This 107-nucleotide small nucleolar RNA is filed under the name Gossypium arboreum. RNAcentral describes it as "Plant small nucleolar RNA R71". It matches the Rfam family "Plant small nucleolar RNA R71". From Rfam's summary of the family: R71 is a member of the C/D box family of snoRNAs containing the C (UGAUGA) and D (CUGA) box motifs. Multiple nearly identical copies of this snoRNA have been identified in Arabidopsis, and it is thought to function as a 2'-O-ribose methylation guide for 18S ribosomal RNA. The record is from Rfam by way of RNAcentral. Lineage: Eukaryota; Viridiplantae; Streptophyta; Magnoliopsida; Malvales; Malvaceae.